RNAcentral lists this ribosomal RNA (490 nucleotides) under uncultured bacterium. RNAcentral's name for it is "partial 16S ribosomal RNA". It matches the Rfam family "Bacterial small subunit ribosomal RNA", at positions 30 to 507 of the family's 1533-position model. The record is from RNAcentral.
AUUGAACGCUGGCGGCAGGCCUAACACAUGCAAGUCGAACGGUAACAGGAAGAAGCUUGCUUCUUUGCUGACGAGUGGCGGACGGGUGAGUAAUGUCUGGGAAACUGCCUGAUGGAGGGGGAUAACUACUGGAAACGGUAGCUAAUACCGCAUAACGUCGCAAGACCAAGGAGGGGGACCUUCGGGCCUCUUGCCAUCGGAUGGGCCCAGAUGGGAUUAGCUAGUAGGUGGGGUAACGGCUCACCUAGGCGACGAUCCCUAGCUGGUCUGAGAGGAUGACCAGCCACACUGGAACUGAGACACGGUCCAGACUCCUACGGGAGGCAGCAGUGGGGAAUAUUGCACAAUGGGCGCAAGCCUGAUGCAGCCAUGCCGCGUGUAUGAAGAAGGCCUUCGGGUUGUAAAGUACUUUCAGCGGGGAGGAAGGGAGUAAAGUUAAUACCUUUGCUCAUUGACGUUACCCGCAGAAGAAGCACCGGCUAACUCCGUG